RNAcentral lists this ribosomal RNA (551 nucleotides) under Conus figulinus. Its description in RNAcentral is "partial 12S ribosomal RNA". It matches the Rfam family "Bacterial small subunit ribosomal RNA", at positions 597 to 1383 of the family's 1533-position model. The record is from RNAcentral. Lineage: Eukaryota; Metazoa; Mollusca; Gastropoda; Neogastropoda; Conidae.
AAACCAAGAAAUUUAGUCAUUCUUUUACGGUAAAAAGACAGUUAGGCAAAAAAUUAGGAAUCAUUGGAUCUUUAGUAUAGGAGUAAAAUCUAGAUACUAAAAGUUAUACCUGGCAUGAUUUGUUUAAGGGCUGAAUCUGUGAUAGCUUUAAGGGAAACUGGGAUUGGAUACCCCAUUAUUUCUAGUUGUAAAUUUAGUUUGGGCUUACCGGAGUACUACGAAUAUAAAAGUUUAAAACUCAAAGGGCUUGGCGGUGUUUUAGACCUCUUAGGGGAACCUGUCUCGUAAUCGACAAUCCACGUUAAACCUAACCCUUUGUGGCAUGACAGCCUGUAUACCGUCGUCGUCAGGUAACUUCUUAAAAUAUAGUAGUUAGCUCGAGAACAUUGUUGGUUAAAACGUCAGAUCAAGGUGCAGCUAAUAAAAGGGUGAGGAUGGGUUACAAUUAUAUAUUUAUAAGUAUGAAUAGACAUUUGAAAUGAAAUGUCUUGAAGGAGGACUUAAAAGUAAUUUUGAUUAUAUAAAUAAAAUGAAUAUGGCUCUGAAACGUG